UACGUAGGGGGCAAGCGUUGUCCGGAUUUAUUGGGCGUAAAGAGCGUGUAGGCGGUUUGGUAGGUCCGUUGUGAAAACUCGAGGCUCAACCUCGAGACGUCGGUUGAAACCGUAUGGCUAGAGUCCGGAAGAGGAGAGUGGAAUUCCCGGUGUAGCGGUGAAAUGCGCAGAUAUCAGGAAGAACACCCGUGGCUAAGGCGGCUCUCUAGUACGGUACUGACGCUGAGACGCGAAAGCGUGGGGAGCGAACAGG
RNAcentral lists this ribosomal RNA (253 nucleotides) under uncultured bacterium. RNAcentral's name for it is "partial 16S ribosomal RNA". It matches the Rfam family "Bacterial small subunit ribosomal RNA", at positions 524 to 776 of the family's 1533-position model. The record is from RNAcentral.